RNAcentral lists this RNase P RNA (338 nucleotides) under Clostridia bacterium. Its description in RNAcentral is "RNase P RNA component class A". It matches the Rfam family "Bacterial RNase P class A". Rfam says of the family: Ribonuclease P (RNase P) is a ubiquitous endoribonuclease, found in archaea, bacteria and eukarya as well as chloroplasts and mitochondria. Its best characterised activity is the generation of mature 5'-ends of tRNAs by cleaving the 5'-leader elements of precursor-tRNAs. Lineage: Bacteria; Bacillati; Bacillota; Clostridia. The record is from RNAcentral.
AGGGUAUACCGAGUGGUCGCGCUUUUGGUAACUAAAACUUAAAAGUGAGGAAAGUCCGAGCUCCAAAGAGCAGGGUAACGGCUAACAGCCGCCGAGGGUAACCUUAGGGAUAGUGCGACAGAAAGUAACCGCCGCAAGGCAAGGGUGGAAAGGCGAGGUAAGAGCUCACCAGAAGUCAGGAGACUGACCUGCUACGUAAACCCUACCCGGAGCAACACCGUGAUGGAAACAGAAUGCUUGCUCGGCAGUUUUCAGAGGUGGCAGUGAGCUUAAGAGUAAUUUUAAGCCAAGAUAGAUGACCACAUAAACAGAACUCGGCUUAUAGGUAUACUCUCUUU